This 303-nucleotide ribosomal RNA is filed under the name uncultured bacterium. RNAcentral's name for it is "partial 16S ribosomal RNA". It matches the Rfam family "Bacterial small subunit ribosomal RNA", at positions 507 to 807 of the family's 1533-position model. The record is from RNAcentral.
AGCAGCAGCCACGGUAAAACGGAGGGGGCUAGCGUUGUUCGGAAUUACUGGGCGUAAAGCGCACGUAGGCGGACUGGAAAGUCAGAGGUGAAAUCCCAGGGCUCAACCUUGGAACUGCCUUUGAAACUAUCAGUCUGGAGUUCGAGAGAGGUGAGUGGAAUUCCGAGUGUAGAGGUGAAAUUCGUAGAUAUUCGGAGGAACACCAGUGGCGAAGGCGGCUCACUGGCUCGAUACUGACGCUGAGGUGCGAAAGCGUGGGGAGCAAACAGGAUUAGAUACCCCGGUAGUCCCUGUCUCUUAUAC